UCCUACGGGGGGCAGCAGUGGGGAAUAUUGCACAAUGGGCGCAAGCCUGAUGCAGCGACGCCGCGUGGGGGAUGACGGCCUUCGGGUUGUAAACCUCUUUCAAUAGGGACGAAGCGCAAGUGACGGUACCUAUAGAAGAAGGACCGGCCAACUACGUGCCAGCAGCCGCGGUAAUACGUAGGGUCCGAGCGUUGUCCGGAAUUACUGGGCGUAAAGAGCUCGUAGGUGGGUUGUCGCGUUGUUCGUGAAAACUCACAGCUUCACUGUGGGCGUGCGGGCGAUACGGGCAGACUGGAGUACUGCAGGGGAGACUGGAAUUCCUGGUGUAGCGGUGGAAUGCGCAGAGAUCAGGAGGAACACCGGUGGCGAAGGCGGGUCUCUGGGCAGUAACUGACGCUGAGGAGCGAAAGCGUGGGGAGCGAACAGGAUUAGAUACCU
RNAcentral lists this ribosomal RNA (438 nucleotides) under uncultured Mycobacterium sp. RNAcentral describes it as "bacterial SSU rRNA". It matches the Rfam family "Bacterial small subunit ribosomal RNA", at positions 337 to 787 of the family's 1533-position model. The record is from RNAcentral. Lineage: Bacteria; Bacillati; Actinomycetota; Actinomycetes; Mycobacteriales; Mycobacteriaceae.